This 679-nucleotide long non-coding RNA is filed under the name Calidris pugnax (ruff). RNAcentral describes it as "lncRNA (ENSCPUG00000012769.1)". The record is from RNAcentral. Lineage: Eukaryota; Metazoa; Chordata; Aves; Charadriiformes; Scolopacidae.
GGAACACUCUAGGAAGAAUGGAGCUGUUCUAAUGGAGGAUAACUUGCUCUUCAGAUGAAAGUAUUUCCUGCUCAUCUCAUACGAAAUGAGUGUUAACAGUGCAAGCAGCCAACUUUUGUUCUCGUGUGCUUCAGGAGCUCAAGUGACUCCACUGAAACUCUGGCAUUUGUCACAGACAAAAUUGGGUCAGGAGAGAGCACAGAGGUACAGAACGGAAAAGAGAGAAAUUCAUCCUUAGGAAAAAAAAAAAAGUCUCAAGCUGCAAACUUGGGCUUAAUUUGUCUCCUCCACGUAAGACGGAUCUAACAACGCAGUCUGGGCUCCGUGCCAAAGGCUGGUAUUUCACAGCAGCGACCGCCUUACAGAUGAGCUGUGGGAAGCAGGAGGGAGACUCUCUUAGGGUGCCACUACUAUGGAGACACAGCUGGGCUGAACAAGAUUUGCUUCAAACGACAACAAGAGAGACAGAAAGUGUCUGGUUCGACCGCUGCCCAAGCAGGCAGUAACCAGAAGAGCUAGCAGCCAAUCCGGCCAUGCUGCACUGUUCGAAACCAGCUCUACAUCCCAGCCAAUCAGUGACAUCACUGGUGAGAAACUCAUUUACAUCAUGCAGUAAUGAACUUUGUUUAACGUAUCCUUUUUUCUUUUCUUUUUUUUUUUUUUUUUCCUCACAGAGAUU